AUGCUAGCAAAAUGGGCAAUAUAUCUGGAGAGGUUUAACUAUCUCAUCGUGCAUAAAUCUGGAAUAACUAACAGAGUGGCCGAUGCUUUGAGUCGUCGUGCAUGCCUCUUGACUUAUUUUGAAGCUGAACUUCCGGGCAUGGAUCAAAUAAAGGAGUUGAAUGAGGGUGACGAAGACUUUGGCCAUGUUUGGGUAAAGCACGCAAGGGGCCAACCAUUAGGUGAUGACUAUUUGAUGCAAGAUGGAUAUCUCUUCAAAAAUGAUCGUUUGUGCAUUCCAAGUUCUCUACGUGACAAGCUGGUUAGAGAGCUCCAUUCAAGUGAUCUUAGUGGCCAUGUUGGACGGGACAAGACUAUCGCUAAC
This 363-nucleotide ribosomal RNA is filed under the name Triticum aestivum (bread wheat). Its description in RNAcentral is "partial small subunit ribosomal RNA". Lineage: Eukaryota; Viridiplantae; Streptophyta; Magnoliopsida; Poales; Poaceae. The record is from RNAcentral.